UUGCAAAAGUCAUACUUGUUGUUCAACACAUGACAAAGACUUUCCAGAAAUAGUUGUUUUUUGGUAGAUUUUGACACCACAUUUCACAAUUCAGCAACACUUUUCUGACCCCCCCCCACACGCUGCUUUAAUGUAACUUCUUUGCACAAUCCCAGCCGCCGCCCCCUGACCCCGGCAGAGGAGUUGUAUGAAUGACGCAGGACCACUCAGCCCUGCACGAGCUGAGACAUUCCCUGGAGAGCGCAGGAUAUGGCAUUACAAACUGCUCCGUGAAAUGCGAGGAGCUUCGAAAUCACCAGCAAUUUCCCAAGCACUCAUUCUUUCCUCCAUCGCGUCAAGAGUCAGUGACAAUAAAUGGGUAGUGUCAGUGGUUGCCAGAUCUUUACCAAGUAUCAGAAAGAGGAGAAGAAGAAGAAGAAGAAGAAGAAGAAGAAGAAGAAGAAGAAUGUCUGCUCUAUAAAAUAACCGUAAAGCUAUUAUCGUUAAAGCCAACUAUAAAGUUUUGCCUCUUAAGGACUUUAAAAGCUUUUCUAAGCAACACCAUCUGUGAAGGAACAUCAGGCUUUGUUUGAAAUGCUCUUGAUCACACUUGAUCCUUUGUACUCAUAAAAUUCGACCGCAAACAGCUUCUCUUUCCGGGCUGGAAUAUGACUCCCAUUCACGAGAGGCGUCCCCCCGUGAAGUCCUCAGGUUCAGGGCA
Molecule: long non-coding RNA, 700 nt
Organism: Notothenia coriiceps (black rockcod)
Lineage: Eukaryota; Metazoa; Chordata; Actinopteri; Perciformes; Nototheniidae
Exons: 3
Source: RefSeq, a predicted model, not a curated record